CCGUGCUAAGUGGGGAGGUAGCGGUGCCCUGUACUCGCAAUCCGCUAUAGCGAGACCGAAUCCCUUCUCGAGGCUUUAGCAUUUCAGGGUCUGACCUAGGUAAGUGGUGUUGACGCCCGGGUUCUGCGCAACGGGGACCUGUGAACCCUGUCAGGUCCGGAAGGAAGCAGCAGUAAGCAGUCAUUCUCGUGUGCCGCAGAGUCGCCUGGGCCGAGCUAACUGCUUAGGUAACGCCUGGGGUGCUAUUGCCGACAGAAGGUGCACGG
This 266-nucleotide signal recognition particle RNA is filed under the name Evansella sp. LMS18. RNAcentral's name for it is "signal recognition particle sRNA large type". It matches the Rfam family "Bacterial large signal recognition particle RNA". Rfam says of the family: The signal recognition particle (SRP) is a universally conserved ribonucleoprotein involved in the co-translational targeting of proteins to membranes. Archaeal SRP consists of a 7S RNA and homologues of the eukaryotic SRP19 and SRP54 proteins. In most bacteria, the SRP consists of a 4.5S RNA and the Ffh protein (a homologue of the eukaryotic SRP54 protein). Lineage: Bacteria; Bacillati; Bacillota; Bacilli; Caryophanales; Bacillaceae. The record is from RNAcentral.